RNAcentral lists this long non-coding RNA (428 nucleotides) under Salmo salar (Atlantic salmon). Its description in RNAcentral is "lncRNA (ENSSSAG00000117887.1)". The record is from RNAcentral. Lineage: Eukaryota; Metazoa; Chordata; Actinopteri; Salmoniformes; Salmonidae.
CAGACACAGAGACGGGUUCUAAAAGGAGUUUAGUAGCAGACACAGAGACGGGUUCUAAAAGGAGUUUAGUAGCAGACACAGAGACGGGUUCUAAUAGGAGUUUAGUAGCAGACACAGAGACGGGUUCUAAAAGGAGUUUUGUAGCAGACACAGAGACGGGUUCUAAAAGGAGUUUAGUAGCAGACACAGAGACGGGUUCUUAAAGGAGUUUAGUAGCUGACACAGAGAUGGGUUCUAAAAGGAGUUUAGUAGCAGACACAGAGACGGGUUCUAAAAGGAGUUUAGUAGCAGACACAGAGACGGGUUCUAAAAGGAGUUUAGUAGCAGACACAGAGACGGGUUCUAAAAGGAGUUUAGUAGCAGACACAGAGACGGGUUCUAAAAGGAGUUUAGUAGCAGACACAGAGAUGGGUUCUAAAAGGAGUUUA